Molecule: ribosomal RNA, 622 nt
Filed under: uncultured bacterium
Lineage: Bacteria
Description: bacterial SSU rRNA
Rfam family: Bacterial small subunit ribosomal RNA
Source: RNAcentral
CAAAGGAGCAAUCCGCUGAAAGAUGGGCUCGCGUCCGAUUAGGUAGUUGGCGGGGCAACGGCCCACCAAGCCGACGAUCGGUAGCCGGACUGAGAGGUUGAACGGCCACAUUGGGACUGAGACACGGCCCAGACUCCUACGGGAGGCAGCAGUGAGGGAUAUUGGUCAAUGGGGGAAACCCUGAACCAGCAACGCCGCGUGAGGGAAGACGGUUUUCGGAUUGUAAACCUCUGUCCUCUGUGAAGAUGAUGACGGUAGCAGAGGAGGAAGCUCCGGCUAACUACGUGCCAGCAGCCGCGGUAAUACGUAGGGAGCAAGCGUUGUCCGGAUUUACUGGGUGUAAAGGGCGCGUAGGCGGCUUUGCAAGUCAGAAGUGAAAUCCAUGGGCUUAACCCAUGAACUGCUUUUGAAACUGCAGAGCUUGAGUGGAGUAGAGGUAGGCGGAAUUCCCGGUGUAGCGGUGAAAUGCGUAGAGAUCGGGAGGAACACCAGUGGCGAAGGCGGCCUGCUGGGCUCUAACUGACGCUGAGGCACGAAAGCGUGGGUAGCAAACAGGAUUAGAUACCCUGGUAGUCCACGCUGUAAACGAUGAUUACUAGGUGUGGGUGGACUGACCCCAUCC